RNAcentral lists this ribosomal RNA (545 nucleotides) under Fusarium sp. Ja127. RNAcentral's name for it is "eukaryotic LSU rRNA". The stretch from base 180 to 333 matches the Rfam family "5.8S ribosomal RNA". Lineage: Eukaryota; Fungi; Ascomycota; Sordariomycetes; Hypocreales; Nectriaceae. The record is from RNAcentral.
UUCCGUAGGUGAACCUGCGGAGGGAUCAUUACCGAGUUUACAACUCCCAAACCCCUGUGAACAUACCACUUGUUGCCUCGGCGGAUCAGCCCGCUCCCGGUAAAACGGGACGGCCCGCCAGAGGACCCCUAAACUCUGUUUCUAUAUGUAACUUCUGAGUAAAACCAUAAAUAAAUCAAAACUUUCAACAACGGAUCUCUUGGUUCUGGCAUCGAUGAAGAACGCAGCAAAAUGCGAUAAGUAAUGUGAAUUGCAGAAUUCAGUGAAUCAUCGAAUCUUUGAACGCACAUUGCGCCCGCCAGUAUUCUGGCGGGCAUGCCUGUUCGAGCGUCAUUUCAACCCUCAAGCACAGCUUGGUGUUGGGACUCGCGUUAAUUCGCGUUCCCCAAAUUGAUUGGCGGUCACGUCGAGCUUCCAUAGCGUAGUAGUAAAACCCUCGUUACUGGUAAUCGUCGCGGCCACGCCGUUAAACCCCAACUUCUGAGUGUUGACCUCGGAUCAGGUAGGAAUACCCGCUGAACUUAAGCAUAUCAAUAAGCGGAGGA